Non-coding RNA from Salmo salar (Atlantic salmon), 54 nucleotides. The record is from Rfam. Lineage: Eukaryota; Metazoa; Chordata; Actinopteri; Salmoniformes; Salmonidae.
AAUGCACCAAUUUGUAAGUCGCUCUGGAUAAGAGCGUCUGCUAAAUGUGUUAAA